Long non-coding RNA from Eucalyptus grandis, 810 nucleotides. RefSeq lists it as uncharacterized. The transcript has 2 exons. The record is from RefSeq and is a predicted model, not a curated record. NCBI's taxonomy places the organism in Eukaryota, Viridiplantae, Streptophyta, Magnoliopsida, Myrtales, Myrtaceae.
CCCGACUCCAUCGCAUCCUUCUACUCCAUCCACACAACGCCAUCGCCAGAGAGCCCACUCUCCCUCCCCCUCUCUUAGCCAAUUUCGCUGCACCACACGAACCCAUCACCGCCAGCCAGAACCCCCCCGCCCCCGUCGCCAGAAUUCUCGCCGCCGCCGCCGCUGUGUCGGGCGGGUCCCAGGUCCCGCUCCCCCCUGGCAGAGUGCGCCGAUCUCCGCCCCGUCGCCGCUUCGCCGCGUCGCCGGUUCCGAUCCGAGUGGCCGGAGCUCGCCGGACGUUUCUUCCGUCGGGACUGGGGACCAACUCUGCCCGCUCUCGCGGAGUCGCUGCUGCUCGUCCUUGCGCAAUCUGCUCUGACUCGUUGUCGCGAGGAGUUGUUGCGCGGAAUUGUGGAGAGUUUGCCGAGCUGUAGCUGAGUAACCGUUGCUCUUCGCCCUCGUCGCUUGAGACCACAGCUUUUAAGCCUUUUUGGGUCACGAUCAGGAUGUUCGUGAAUUCUGUGAAGAGACUUCGAAUUAUGAGGACUUCUGAGGCUAAUGGACUUGGUACUGAAUUACAGAGCCAAUAUUCUGAGACUUGAUCGUGUACAUGGUUUUGUAUGAUCAUGAUAUUUAAAGCAUUGUUGAGGAUGAGUGCUAACCUUAAGCUGGGUAGCUCUGAAGCUAUCCAGGUCCUUGUAGAGCAUGGUUGCGAUCUUUUGAGUGAACAGUGUGUAUAGCUUGCCCAUUAUACGGUUGUGGAAAUGAAAAGACUGGAUAAAUGGAGCAUUUUGAAAAUCAUGGUUGCUCCUCUUGGUGUCCCUUUUCUUU